This 1507-nucleotide long non-coding RNA is filed under the name Vulpes vulpes (red fox). Its description in RNAcentral is "lncRNA (ENSVVUG00000003162.1)". The record is from RNAcentral. Lineage: Eukaryota; Metazoa; Chordata; Mammalia; Carnivora; Canidae.
ACUGUGGCCAGAGACCAGAACAAUGAGGAGAAAAUUCUGUCGCUUUGGAAACAAGGUUGGCAAGACACAUGCCAUUUCCUCCUCAGAGCUCUUGAUUCCACCAUACAUUGCCAAGAACUACUCUCAGCCCCCUUGACUAUUGUGCGUUGAUGUUACCAGCCUUGGCCAGGAAAACUUCUGGAAUUGAGUCUGCAGUUAGCCAACAUUAGCCAUUCUAGAUAGGCUAUCCUCAUUCUUUUUUAUUAUUCAAACUCAAAAGAGUGCAGAUUUCUUUAUGAGUUUUAAAUCCCCUGUAAGGUACUGUCUGUGGCCUGCAGUCAUGAAGAAUGACGUACAAAAUGUGAAAGUCAUCAGUCUAUUUCCUUCUUUCAGCAUGAAAGUAUAUUUGACUUGUGGACAGUAAGCAGCCUGGUUCCAAUUGAAGACCACCAUAGCAUGGGUCCUGCCCUACUGAAAUGGCAAAAGUACCAAGUGGCAGCAGCUUGGUGGCACGGAGACCACCAAAAAAGAAGGAGAAGGAGAAGGAGAAGGAGAAGAAGAAGAAAAAAGAAAGAAAAGAAAAUAGAAAAGAAAAAAGAGAAAAAAGGUGGUGGCUUUUGUUCUUAAAUUCAUAUAUUUAUAUGGGUACCUAUUUUUCAAUUAACCUUAACCUGAUUUUUGCAAUCUUGUUUCUUUUAGGCCUCACCUCUAAAUAAACCAUGCAGCUGUUUUCCACUACCCAAGGUUCAGGGUAUAUCCAUAACCUCAGAUCUCCUUUCCCACUAGACAGUGGAUUUUACCUCAUCAUUAAGUUUUGGGUCAUCCUUGAGAUGGGUUGUAAUUAAGUAGAAUAUCUUCCUUAGCUAGUGCAAACAUUUGCACUGAUUAUCUUGUGUCAUUUAAUUUUGUAUCAUUUCCUCCCUUAUGAAGGAAUCACAUUUCUCAGUUUCAGAAUAAUUCUGGAUGCUGGUUCUAAUACUAUGUAGUUAAUAGGAUUUACAGUGUAUUGUCUGAAAAGAGGGAUUGUAAAGACUCAUAAAUAGCAUGAAUUGAGAAAGAGAUGAUAGGUCAACUGAGACAGAUAACAUGGGAGUCUGGACUUCCUCACCAUGUAAUUUCCUUCUCUCUUUUAUAUGUGCUCAAAUCCAAUUUCAUAUGAACUAUUGCCAUGGUAAAAUAAGUUAUGUCUGUGCUCAUUCCAUCCCAUAAUUGGGCAUAUCUGACAAUACCCUAGGCACAGGGUCUUUUGCUGUGUAAUGAUCAGGUAUUUAAUCGUUAUUAAAUCAAAAUGAGAGUAUCUGAAGUUAGUGUUAAGUGAGUAUGUCUAUGAGUUGCUGGAAAUAGUUUUCAUGGGAUUAUUUUUCCUGUGAAGAUUCGUUGGUUCUCUGUGUAACUUCCUAUAUUCGUGAUACAGAAACAGAUAAGCAAAAGCCAAAGAACAGAGGUCAGAAAGAAAAAAAAAUGGUAUCUAAAUGCCUACUGCUUCCCUGCAUUGGGAACUCAAUAAUAAAUAAUAUAGUAUUUAUCA